AGGCUGUACUGCUAUACAGAAGGACCGGAGAGAAGUCGGCGGAAAGAAUGGAGGGACAGCGAUGGAGAAGAGGAGUUCGUGAGGCGGGACGAAGGCUGCACCGGCGGGUGCAUCAAGUGCAGGAGUACGGAGCACUGGUCGCGCGACCGUCCUUCCUCUUCUUCAAACCCUAAUGAACCUAGCCCUAAUCUCGUCGCCACUCAGCCUCUCGGUAAGCCUUGGCGGUCACCAAGUCCUCCAUUAAGAAGGCUCUGAGAACGAGGCUCAAGCUCACCCCGCGGUUCUUGAACUCGGAGGAUGGCCUUGGUUAUGUGGUUCGCCAUUUCCCCCGCGCCUUCAAGUAUCUCGGCUGCGGCCAUUAAGUUGCUGAUCUUGGUAACUUGACUGGUCUUUAAGCACAGUGGCAUUCUCAGUUAAUCCCUUACUAUUCCUUUGAUCAAUUUGUUCGCAAGGUUGAGCAAGUUGGUGCGACUGGACGAGUUAGGAGAUGCAUAUCAGAAUUGAAGGAUAAAGUUGCCAAUGGCGGGGACCCCUCAAAGCUUUAUGAAUCCCUAUUGAAGAAGUUGCUCCAGAAAUUGAACAAGAUGAUCCAACUGCCGGAGAACCAGUUGCAGAUGCAGUAGAUCCAUUAUUUGACUCCAUUGAAACCGAUCACAUACAGGAGGAAGAGAUUUUCAAUGAGAUUUAUCACAAAGCUACUGAAGUAAGUCAUUAUAUUUUCUUGUCCUGCAGUAGUUAUCUAGUCAUUCAUUCAUGAGCAUUUUUGUUCUUGUAUUUAUUGCAAUAAAAAUGUGCUGUAGCAUGAUUUAAGUUAACCUCUUGAUCAAUAUCUGCAUCACUGACUUUUAUGUUGUAGUUCUUAACCCAUCGUCAAACAGAUAACAAAAAACAAAUCCAGUGAUUAGAAGGAUGCAGGCCAGCAUCCUGUGACGAGUGCAUGAGUAGCUGUGAGUUGCAAUAUUUAGAGGCAACUUGAAAUAAGUAAUAAUUGAGUUGUUCUAAUCUUGUAAUUUUAAAAGUUGAAUAAAUAAGUCAAAUUAUGAUCUGGUGUGUUGCAGCACCCUACGUUUCUAUUUCUA
This is a long non-coding RNA of Zingiber officinale, 1079 nucleotides long. RefSeq lists it as uncharacterized. The record is from RefSeq and is a predicted model, not a curated record. The transcript has 4 exons. NCBI's taxonomy places the organism in Eukaryota, Viridiplantae, Streptophyta, Magnoliopsida, Zingiberales, Zingiberaceae.